GACGAACGCUGGCGGCGUGCUUAACACAUGCAAGUCGAGCGGAGCGGCGAACGGGUGAGUAACGCGUGAGUAACUGCCCCCCUCCCUGGGAUAACAGUUGGAAACGGCUGCUAAUACCGGAUAGUGGGGGAUGACUCGCGUCCGAUCAGCUGGUUGGUUGGGUAGUGGCCUACCAAGGCGACGACGGGUAACCGGCCUGAGAGGGGGACCGGCACCAGUGGGAUGUGAUACGGCACAAACCCCUACGGGAGGCAGGAGUUGGGAAUAUUGCACAAGGGGGCAAACCAGGAUGCAGAAAUCCGCGGGCGGGAUGACGGCCUUCGUGUUGUAAACCGCUUUCAGCCAUGACGCGGUAGUGGCAGAAGAAGCACCGGCUAACUACGUGCCAGCAGCCGCGGUAAUAC
RNAcentral lists this ribosomal RNA (404 nucleotides) under uncultured bacterium. RNAcentral's name for it is "partial 16S ribosomal RNA". It matches the Rfam family "Bacterial small subunit ribosomal RNA", at positions 28 to 526 of the family's 1533-position model. The record is from RNAcentral.